GUCUCUUUGAAUAUUUUUAAUGAAGAGUUGGGCCUGCUCAGUGAUUGAAUAUUAAACAGCUGCGGUAUUUUAACUGUACUAAGGUAGCAUAAUAAUUUGCCUUAUAAAUUAAGGCUAGAAUGAAUGGUUUGACGAAAAUUAUACUGUCUCUAGUUUAAUUAUUAGAAGUUAAUUUUUAUAGUGAGAAAGCUUAAAUAGUUUAAAGGGACGAAAAGACCCUAUUGAGCUUUAUAUUAUAUGUUAAAGUUGUAAAUUGUAUUUAUUUAAUGUAAUUUUGGUUGGGGUGAUCAAGGAAUAAAAAUUAGUUUAUUAACUUCCUUAAUAAAAUUAAUAUAUAUGUAUUAAUAAACCAAUGAUUUUGCUUAGAAGAUAAGUUACCAUAGGGAUAACAGCGUAAUUUUUUUUGAAAGUUCUUAUUGAAAAAAGAGAUUGCGACCUCGAUGUUGGAUUAAAAUAACCUUAAGGUGUAGAGGCUUUAAUUGGUAAAUCUGUUCGAUUUUUAAAAUUUU
Molecule: ribosomal RNA, 509 nt
Filed under: Hapalochlaena maculosa
Lineage: Eukaryota; Metazoa; Mollusca; Cephalopoda; Octopoda; Octopodidae
Description: partial 16S ribosomal RNA
Rfam family: Bacterial large subunit ribosomal RNA
Source: RNAcentral